This 330-nucleotide ribosomal RNA is filed under the name uncultured bacterium. Its description in RNAcentral is "bacterial SSU rRNA". It matches the Rfam family "Bacterial small subunit ribosomal RNA", at positions 32 to 346 of the family's 1533-position model. The record is from RNAcentral.
AAUCAACGCUGGCGGCGUGCCUAACACAUGCAAGUCGAACGCGAAAGUUCCUUCGGGAAUGAGUAGAGUGGCGUCCGGGUGAGUAACGCGUGGGUAAUCUACCCUUGGGUGGGAAUAACCAGUCGAAAGAUUGGCUAAUACCGCAUAAUGCAGCGGCUCGACAUCGAGACAGUUGUUAAAGCGCAAUCGCAAGAUUGCGCGCCUAAGGAGGAGCCUGCGUCNGAUUAGCUUGUUGGUGAGGUAAUGGCUCACCAAGGCUGCGAUCAGUAGCUGGUCUGAGAGGACGGCCAGCCACAAUGGCACUGAAACACGGGCCAUACUCCUACGGGA